Molecule: long non-coding RNA, 17967 nt
Organism: Corvus hawaiiensis (hawaiian crow)
Lineage: Eukaryota; Metazoa; Chordata; Aves; Passeriformes; Corvidae
Exons: 25
Source: RefSeq, a predicted model, not a curated record
CGGCGCGGGGCGGUGCGUCGUGAGGGGAGAUGGCGGGGCAGCGGUUCCCUCACGGCACCGCCGGGCCGAGGCCUCCGGGAACGGGCCGGGCCGAGACAGCCGGGCCCUCGGGCAGCGGGGAGCCGGGGCGAGGAGCCCGCGGUGAGGAGCCCGCGGUGUGCACUGCCCUGGUGCCGGGGCCUUCAGUAGCGCUGAGCUGAUGUCCGGCUGGGCAUCGUGUCUGCACCCUCCAUGUGCAGUUUCCACAUCAACGCAACCGAAGCUGCUGAGGAGGAACGAUCUGAGGAGGUUUGAUCUUUGUAAGCUGCUGGUGUUCAGCCUCCAUGGACAGUUCUGUCAGUGCACUCGAACAAGGCUGCAAAGAUAAUUACCUGCACCAGGAAUUUGUGUGGAGAGCCUGCACGAGCCUGCAGCACUCACCAGCACUUGCCAGCAAGGUUCCUGUCUGGAAAAGAAAAGCAACAAUGCUCUGACAUGCCAGCAAGCUCAGUCCUUGAAAGGUCCUGUAGAUGCCACUGACAUUCCUGCUGGCUGAGGUGUUCGGCUCUGCUGGGAGACCCCUCCAUCCUCUUCCUGCUCAGCAAAGGGACACAAUUGGGCCCUGGAAGACCAGCUGGGUGGAGGGUGAAGUGCUGAGAGUGGAGUUGUUCUGUGUUUGAGAGUAAAUGUGGAUGAACAUCCCUUGCUGACGGAGCACUGUGGUGUCCCUGCCUGCCCUUCACACCAAAUGGGCUUGAAAGACGAGCGUGCAUCUGCCCGACAGCUUUCAGAGCGAGCCAUCCCUGCCAGCCAAAGCAGAUUCUCCAUGCUUGCUUCCAAGCAGCACGAGCUGAAACAACUGGUGGCAGAGUGGGGUGUCUCUGCAGUCCUAGCCAUGAAGAGAGGAGAGGAAAUGUCCUCCUGCUCAGAGCACAGAGAAGAGGCUGGAGCUGGGCUGCUUUCUCCACAACUGUAGAACUGUGGUGAAAUGGGGAUUCUUUAUGUUUCAUUGGCUUCUUUGAGGAAAACAGCGACCACGAGAUCAGACAGAGCCUCGGGGAUGAAUAAAUUUACUGUAAUAGGAGUGAGUCAGCAUGGAUGUAUUGCAGGGAGGCUGGAAACAUGACCCUGACUGGACCAGGGUGCUCCGUGGCAGUUGCAGAUCUGGAGCCUGACAGUGAGUUGGAGAAGUCUGAGGGUUUGCUGGUCCAAGCCAAGCUCCCAGGGCAUGGACCUCUGAGGGCUGCACUCACAGAUGAGAGGAUAAUCAGGGAAUCACAGACUGGGAAGCAAUAGCUCGCAGUCAGGAAGCUGCUUGUUUCAUGAUUAGAAUCGCUGCAGCUCCCAAGGGAAGGGAUGGCACUGUCUGGGCAGACCUGGCUCUGCCGAGAGCACUUGUGCCUGGUACUCCACCAAGGAUCUGGUCUAUGGUGGAAAAGUUGCUGCUGCUGAGGUGGGAUUUAGGAGCCAAGAGAUGCUGGGCUGCGUGGGACACAGCACUGAAUGGGAGCAGUGGGAAGUGGAGUUCACUCAGUGACUGACACGAGCUCCCAGCUGGCUUUGGCAGGAAACUGUUCAGUAUCCGAAGCCCGGAGUGCCUCUGCCAGCCUGACACCGGCGGUGAGUCCGGACCCCAGUGCCUGCGCAGUCCCUGCCACGUCCCAGCUGGGCAUUGUGCAUGCAGGUGCUUCUCCUGGGCAGGAUGCAGGGUGCACCUGAGUCAUUCCCUGCAUUUAUGAUCUGAUCCCUCGGAACAGCUCCGUCAGCAGCUUCUCCUCCCCUCGUGCAGUUCAUGGAGACGUUUCCAUGCCUGGGCGCCCUGGAAGUCCCAACAAGCCACGAGUGGCCGGGACCUGCUGAAGCGUGUUGAUCCAGACACUGGAUCCCUGAAACCUGUGCUUUCCCCAGCACCUUCAUAAAGUGUCCUGAGUUAAAGUGAUUCAGGGAGCACAUUUCCAGUCUGUCAGUGGGCUGCAUCCAUCACUCUCCUGAACAUGCACCAGAUUGUUAAUGCUCCAGGCCAAAUACCACGUCUUUUUUAAUGCCUACCCGAUGUAGUGCGUGCUGCUGGCUUUAUAUUUAUAAUAAUUAUUAAAGUAAUGGCAGUAGUUGCAUUCCUAUAGGCUAGAAGUGGCCAGGAACAGACAAAAAAAAUGAUUCAUUGUUCCAAUUAAUGCUCGAGCUCACACCGGUGAUUAAUUAGCCUGGCGAUAGCGCUAUGCAAAAGAUCAGGGUGAGAAUUAAUAGGGAGACACGUGCUGACUUUUAAGAUGGUUCCAGCACUCUUUAGUGCCCUUCCUUGGGCCUGUUUAAUUAGAGGCAGCGGCAUGGGCUCGCUCUGCACCAACACCCCCGACGGCAGGCACUGCAGAAUAUUUAUAUGACAGGGUGCCGUGGAAAACUUCAAAAUUAAAUUCCCAUCCAGGCCUCUAAAUAUAAUUCUGAAAUGUCAGAGAUGCUGGGAAGAGUGCUGGCACUGGAUGAGGUUGCUGUCAGGGAGAGGCAAUAGUGUGCCAGAUUUAUACUGGCCUGAGUAUGCAGGUGACUUUUCAGCUUGGUGUUUAAGGAGCCUGAGGUGCUCUGAUGGAUGUAUUUCACCUGGUGGGAGGCACAGGAUCCAACGGGAACAUGUGCUGGAGCCUUGUGUGCCCGGCUUGGAUGGGGGAGACGGAGCAGGGGCAGCUCCCAGGAGCCUGUGAGUUCCCAGGAGGCACAACCCACUCUGGAGUACCAACCUUUGAAGCCCCCCUCCAGCUCGGAGAAUAAAUCCCAGCAGUACAGCCAGCGUUCAGGAGGAGAUCUGGGGUGUUAAGAAAGCAUAAAUACCCGUUUAAAAGGAUGGCACCCUCGCGUUACAGCAGGAAAGCAGGAGGAGGCGAGGCAGGAUUGACACUUUCUCCCCCCGAGGGCUUUUCCUAAGACGCCUGCUGGGAACACUCCUGUGUGUUUCUCUUUAGGAGAUCAGUAACCUCAUUUCAGUUUUGCCAGAUCAUCGGCACAAGAGCUCUGUGUCCUUCUCCCUUCUUGGCCAGCAGUUUUGAGAGGAACAUGACUCCUGUUUUAUCACUUGUCUGUGAUGCCCCAACACUUUCUACAUGGCCAGCAGAGAGAUCUUUCACUCGUCCCUGCAUGUGCACACACACAGGUACAUCCUCUGGGGAAGGAUUUGUCAGCAGAAGAAAUCGCAGAGCAAAAAUGCCCAUCAUGAUGAAUUCACAGAAAAUACGCAAUCCUACGCCCAGAUAGGCAGGAGAAAGGACACUUAGAGCACCUGUACUGAAAGGGAGAAGGUGAAGGAGCCUGUGAGCAUUUCCUGCCUCCUCUACUCUUAUGCAGAUUCUAAACACGGGUCUGGUUGUUUCCUAUAUAAAUCUAUUUUUCCUCUCUGCUUUUUUGCUUUGAAGUAUCUGUCUGUGUUCUCAAUGAAGAACAGCUGAGAGAUCAGGAAAAUGGCUUAAGAAUUCAGCAGGCUGUGAGCUAUUUGGACUGAAAACAGUGCCUGGGAGAGAGUUCUUCACACUGCCUUGCUAAACAAUAUCCUCCUGUCACCAUCGGAGGCUGCUGUCCUUUGUUUGUCACCUUCCCUCUGACUCUCCAGAGCCUUCAAGGAAGGAAAAAGAAGGACAAAGGAGGCUCCUUUUCUUUUUUCUUUGUUAAAUUCCCCCAAGCCCUCAUUUAAAAACCCACAGCACAGCCCUUAUGGCCCAUCUGCUGUUGUUUCAGGUUUGCUCCAUGGCUUUGUUCAUCAUUUCCCUGUUGAGCAAGCCCUGGAUCCUUGGGAGCCACGAGCAGGACCCGAGUGCCACCCUGAGCUGCAGCUCCCCCUCUGCGACCUGCCAAAGAGGAACUGCCCACAGGACACUCAGGCACAGCUUCUGGAGUGUCUCUAAAGCCAUUUUUGUUCAGAAAUUCCUGUUGUUGUUGUUCCUGCUGACCUCAGUGGGCUGUAUCUUUUCCAAAUGUUUCUGACGUUUCUCACAGGGUAAUCUGUGAAUGUCACAGACAAGAAUUCUGCUGACUUCAGUUUGGCUUCUGCUCCCCAUUGGAUGGGCUCCUCUCUUUAUGGGGGAAUGCCUCUAGCCAAAAAGAGAGGCAAAACCCCCCAGCCCCUGAGCUAAGUGAAAGCAGGCCCAAAGGGAAGCGCGUUCCAGCCGCAGUGCCUCUCGCUGGCUGGCUUCUGUUCCGUGCUUGGGGAUGUGCCAGACUCCAGUGCCUCCGUGCUUUUGAUUCCUGUUUAUCCCCGGCAACAUGAUUGUCUGUAAUUAUAUAUAAUCUCCUUGUUUACUCUUCUUCCUCCAGGUCUGAACGCAAGCUUGAUGGCAACUCUCUGCUCCGUCUGCCAGGGCUGCAGCUCCAACCGCUCCUCUUCAUCCUCCACCUUCUUUUUCCAAAGUAACAAAGCCAUUGGAUUUCCUCCCACCCCUUCCCCGCGGCUCCCCUCCCCCUCGCUGGCACCGGGGUUAUUUAUACAGAAUGUGGAAACAAUUUGCAGGAAAGUGAACAAUGUAAGCGGGCCGAGGGAAGGGAGACAAGUUUGUUGUGCACGCUGAGAGUGCACAGUGAAAUGCUGUUUUUUGGGGGGCACAGGGAGCAGACUGUUUUCCUUUCUCCCUUCUCUGCUCUCUCACCAUCUCCCUGAGCUCUUUCCAUCCUGCCGGAGUCAGGCCACACCGGAGCAGCCAGAUCUGAGUGCGUGUUUCGGAGGACGCUCAGAUUGGAUCCCGCCCUGCACCGCAGCUCCGUGAGGCAGUGUGUGCUUAAUCCCCUCCGAGGUUCUGCUCUCGGGUCGUUCCCGCUCCUGGAUUAGCAUUCAUGACGAGCAUGUGUGCUCCAGAGGUCCUGCUCCGGGCCCCGGGAGCUGCAGCACUGCCUGGUGUUAGACACAGCUAUUCCCAGGAACAGUUGGGCUCAAGGAGGACAUUUCUGGGAGUGAACGAGGCAGGAACUUUUUGCAAAGUCUAAUUUCAGUCUUUCUGCCCUCACCUGCUGAGCGCUGCAUUUCCAGGGCAUCCCAGCACCUUGCUGGCUCCACUGGGAGUGUGUCUGUAAAUCCAGCAGUUUCCUUGAGUGCUCUGGGGCUGGGGAAGCUGAACCAGCACUCACUCAACACCUCUGAGCAGUUCUGGGCUCUUCAGACAUUGCUCUGCACUGUGAAGUCCUCAAAGAGAGAUAAUCCAAACACACACAUCCUUUGGGGAAGGGCCGCUGGCGUUGCAGAGGGAAGAGAACGUUACCCCGGGUUCCAGGUCGGAGCAGAGCAGCUGCCCUGGCCACAGUGGAGGCCUCAGCCAGCUCCUGCCCUCCUGGGAGCCUCCUUUCCCAACAGCCUCCAGCCUUGGGACAGGAUCUGUGCAUUGUGCUGAGCUGGUAGGGCAGGGCCAGGAAGCUGCCAGGUGGGACAGCAUGUUCCUCCCUAAAGCAGGCAGAUUCCUGGCUGGGAACUGGUGCAGCUGAUCAGUGCACUGUGGUCCAGUGGCACAGAGGCACAGUCAGAGGGAAUGUCUGGUGGGCUUUUCCUUCCUGAGAAUCCAUCCUCUCCACCUUCCAGUUCUUCCUGCUCCUUCUCAGUCCCUGUCCACACACAGAGUGGGAACUUCCCAUGGAUGUUUGUUCUGUAACCCGCCCGUCUGCUGUCCCACAUGGUAUGGCAGGUGUGUCUGGCUAGGCUGGGCCUCCCCAAGCUCAGGGCACAGCAGAGCCCGUUGCAAACGCUGCUCCCUUCAGCCAGCUCUUGGCUGAGUUCACAGCUCCAGGUGUAAAGCACAAGAAGGGUGGGAGCAAAGACACUUCAGCCACCGAUGUUUUCUGGCCGGAGCAGUUCAGCUCUUUGGGUUCUCCUGAUUCUCACUGACGCUGGGAAGGGUCCAGGAGAACAAUUUCUGUUUUCCCUCCCAAGCCAGGCACCAACAGGGACUGGGAGGCUGCAAGUGGGAGCAGACAGAACCUAGACCCAGCAGAGCUGGGGGGUCACUGGUUCCCACUGCAGCCACGCCGUGUCCGGGAGCACAGCGUUGAUCCACAGCCUGGCUGCUUCCCCUCCCUGCUCCUGGCAGGAGCCUGGUGGUGUCUGAGCACCUGCCCAGGCUUGUUCCACACUGUGCUUCCCUGCUGGCAAGGGGAAGGAUAGGAGAGAGCUUGAAUCCAUCAGCCUCCAGAGAGAGAACCCCUCCUGCAGGCUCGGGCAGGCGGGCAGCAGCUCUGCUGCUCAGGGGAGUCUCUGGGCACCCCACUGAAGGCCUCAGGGCAGACACAGACAUUUCCAGCCUCUUUCUGAAUCCCAAGGGUCUCCCCUUACUCCUGGAAAGAUGUGGCCUUGAGUUACACUGCAUGGAGAGCUCUCAACUCACUUUCAAGCUCCUAUAGACACUAAACUGCAGAGACCAGAGGGACCAGGGUAAUUUCAGGGAAGCAGCCAUUGAAACACUUGUGCUUUUUCCCUUCUGGUUCUAAAUGUUCAAAUUCUCACAAAAAUAUGAGACACACUCUCCUUGGAAUGACUGUGCUGCUCAAAACAUUUGGAAUUUCCUCUUUCAUCUGGUUCUUUCUUCUUUUUUUUAAUUAUUUUGAGGGCUCUUUAGAUGAGAACAGAUUUGUAUUCCUGUCUCCCUGCUGCUCACUUCCCACCUGAAAUCCUUGGCUGCUCUUUGCAGUUCCCAACACAACGGCGAGCGAAAUCCUGAACGGAGCAUUCAAACUUCAGGUGAGGAAAAGCAACAGCAGCAGAUGGGCUUGUAAACAGCAGAGACCUGGCUCGGGCACAGAGGUCCUUGCAGCGCGGGAAGGAGCAGGAGGGUUGGUAAACACAGAGCAAUUUCCAUUUUCUGGGCUGAAACGUGGGGAUCUGGGGAGGGGAGGGCGGUGUAGGAACAGCAGCUCUCCCAUUCUGGCACAGUCAGCUCUUCCCAGCAGAAGCUGUUCCUGUCAGAACUUGCAGCAAAUGGGAGAAGACGGGAAAGUGGGGGACGUUUUCCAGCAUCAGGGAAUUUGCGGGUGAUGAAAACAAGAUUUCCAGCAGCCCUUUUGCACUAGUCUUGGUUUCUAAAGUGGUGUCCUCCUGUUUUCCUGCCAUUCUUCCCUCUCCUUGAAUUCCUUCUGAAAGUGUCAGUCGGCAGAGUUGGGAGUAACUUCACUGAUACAAAAUUCCCACAAGUUACCUGAAAGUUUGCAGCUGGACAGAGGAAAAAGAAAACCAGAGCAGAGUCCUCAUGGGUGGAAGAAAAAAGCAGGAUAAGGAGGCUCAGUUCCAUAGUUUAUUGAGCCCAGAGGGAUUUCUACAAACCACAUGGCAUCAGGUGUCAAAGAAAUGAGGGAUGAAAACCAGCGUGGAACAGCAGAGCAGCCCAAAACUCCCACAGCCCAGUGAGGCUCCAGAAAUGUUGGAGAGGCCCAAACAGCCCCUUAAUGUGAACGUGCUGGCCAAGAGCAGCCCCUCCACCUUGUUCCUGUCAGGAGAAAGUCCUGAGUCAUGUCAUGGGUGUUCUUUCCUUGGACAGGGAGACUCUGCACAUCCUGUGGACUCUGGGAGUCACGGGGAACAGAGACUGAUGAAAGAUGGUUCCGAGCUGGGAGUUUGGAGAGGUUUGUGCUUGAUCUAGGGCUGAAGGCUGUUGUUUCUGUUUUUCUUGGGGAUUGGGAGGGGAGAGGUUACUGAAUCCCUGAGUCUUAAUGUGAAAUGAUUAGAAUCUGGAACAGAUUCCAAACCAGACAUUUAGGGACUACUAAAUGUACAAAGCAGCUUGGAUACCUAUCACCAGAGUUCAUCCAGUCCUGGAAAAAGCCUCUGAAAUGGGCAGUGCUUUAACAAAGUACAGAUGUCUGGGGAUGCAAAAUACAAGGAAAAAUUAUGAGGAGGAAGAGAUAACACUUUCUCCAUUUCUUAGAGAGGGAGAAAAUGACAGAAAGUUAUUAAUUUUAUUCCCAGGGCUGUGGUAGCUGGACAAGGAUGCAAGGUUAAGGUGAUCCCCAUGACCUGACACUUGCAGAACAAGUGGGGUCCCUGCAUCCUGACACGAGCCAUUCUAGGGAGAUCUGUAAUCCCCAGUAAUAACCUCGGAGGUUAAUUGGCAUUGGGAAAUGAGUUUAUUUGGUAGGUGGGCUAGAGGGGGUUUAAUUACAUGUUUGGAUCAGUGUUGCUUCAAGCAUUAAUUUUGCCUGGGAAAGGAGGGUGUCAUGUCAGGAGUGACACUUCCACACCGCUUAGAUUGGGGCACAACCGGGGGGACUGGAGAGAGCCCGUGGACUGUUGGGGAGGAUGGGAACGAGCUCUGAGUAAAAGCAUCCCUUUGCUGUUUUGGGCCAGGAUUCCCUGGACUUCAUGUAAGGCCCAGUUCCCUGAGAAUGGCACUCAGCAGCUUUUGGACAGUCAGGCUGUCAGAAGGCAUCCCUCUGAAAUACACGAUGGAUUUCUUUUUUUGGGCCUUAUUUCUCUUCUCUGCUUUGUGUCAUAUUCUCCUUGCAGCUUUCCAGAGCAGAGUUACUCUUCCACUUGUUCUCUUUUGCCUCCUGCUGAGUCAAUUCCUUUAUUUUCCAACAUUAUUUGUACUGUAGUCACUCCCAGAAUCUGGGAAAUCAUCCUCAGAAGUCUCCCCAUCUCCUGAGCUUACUGCCAACUCUCCCACUAAAGCUUUGAAUUCUUUGUUAUAAAGAAGAAUAAAAGGCCAGCAAAGUGCACCUCGACACCCAUUCAGGUGCCAUUACCCUAUAAUUCUUUAAAAACUCCGUGUGCAUUUAUAGUGACUGGGAAGUGCUGGAGUGGGAAGCCUCUGGACUAAAUUGGUGUUCACACAUGAAAGAGAACCAGUCCCGCGUGCGGCAGUGGGCUCUGGGCGGGUUCGGUCGCCGGCUCGCUCGGCGGGCUCGGGGCAGUCAUUGCCUGCCUGUGCCCCUGCUGGCAGUGCCCAGCUCCAGCUGUGCCCGUUUGGACGAGGAGCUCCUCGGGACACAGCCCGUCCCCCACACGUGGAGCUGCACUGGAGCCUGAGGUGAGCCGGCAACACAGCCAGGGAUGAGAGGAACGCCCAGACAGCCCGGCAAGGCUCCCAGACACGCUGCCCUACGAGCACGGCUGGAGCCCGGGUGCUGCGAGCUGUCUCUGUUCCCAGGCCCUGGCCUCUCUCCGGCGGCCAGCAAAGCGUUCACCACUUCCAGUUACAGCGGUGAGGUGAACUGGCACCUUCCCAGGGGAAAUCACUAAACUCACUUUGCAAAGUCAGGCAGAGCCGGAUCGGAUCCUCCAUCCUUCCUGGAGCUGUGCCACCUCCCCGCAGGUGAAAAGCUCCUUGCGGUUCUGAGCCAUCCCAUCCUAUCCCAUCUCAUCCCAUCCCAUUCCACCCCAUCCCGCUCUGCCCACGCUCCAGCCUGCUCCAAUUUUCUCCCCUCCUCCCUUGUCUGAGGAGCUGCAGACACAAUCCUUGGCUUUCCCUCUUCUCCGCAGGCUUUUCCAGAGGCCUUUCUUCCCGUUAUUUGUUCGUUCCUGCGCUCCAUCCCAUCUUUUGCGUCCCUCCCUGGUCUGAUGCAGCAUCUCGCUGGUCCUGCCUUGCACUCCGAGCAGGGGUAUUAGAUGGAUUCCCCAUAGAGUAUAAAUUGAAUGGAGAGAAGUGGCUGGUUUCUCAGCAAUAAUUUAUCUGAUUAAAAAAAUACUCCCCAAACUCCCCCUCCUCCGCCCGUCCUACGCCCCCUCCAAAAAGCACCAUUGGCACCAGGGCUGGUGUUUGAACUGUGUUAUUCAAAUUGCUGGGAGGGUGAUUUAGAUGGGAAAAUAACAGGCAGAGGAUGGUUCUCGGGGGAUUUUCCCCAGAGCGUCGGCACUGAAAUUUGGAACCUGGGCUGUUGUGUGGAGGAGGCAGAGAGUAAAUAAUUCUGAGGCAAGUACCUGGGUGAUUUGAACCUUUGCCCCCGUGUAACAAACGCCCGGCCCGGAUGCACACGCACGAGCACGGGCUCACACGUGUCUGCCCACCACACACACUGCACGGAGGCGCCGAACUCCGGCGCACAGCCAGCUGCUCCUGCUGCUUCCUCUCCCCUCUCUUUCUUCCCCUACCUCAGGGCUGAUUCCAAAUAAAAGAAGGAAUCUGCCUCACACAAUGCCCCUCGCCUUGUUUGUUACUUGCACGGACUUCAUUCCUUCCAAACCAUUUUCUUCUCCAGCAUUCCUGUUGUAACUGUGGCAUGGAAAAGUCACCCCAAGGCCGCUCUCACGGGGCCCGGGCAGUGGGUUUGGCUGGUGCCUGUUCCUGUGAGGGUGACAGGCAGGUAUUCACAGGUAUUUACAUCCCCGAGAGCUCCCAGAGCGCCGGGAUUUACACCAGCGGCUCCUUGGUGCUGUCAAGGGCAGCACUGCUGCUGACACCCGAGUGUCCACAAACCAUUCCAGGGGCCUGGCGUGGUCCCAGCUCCCCGGGCUGCUGGACAUUCCUCUGCUCCCAGCUGCUUUCUGGCCACUGGGUGAAACGGGAACGGCCCGGCUGGAGCUUUCCAGCCUUGAAGCACCCUCAAGCCAGCGGCCGGGGCUCAGGUUUCCUGCGUUUUGACAGGAGGGCUGCUCAGAUGAAACCUCUCUCCGCUCCUUCUGGAGGAUUUGCACUGCCACAAGUCCUCAUUUUUUCCAGAUGUUUUACCUAAUAAAUCAAGGAGUCUCACCAGAGGAUUGGGAUCCAAAAGCUGUUACCAUGACUUCAAAGGCACAGGCUGGAGUGGAAAGAAGCGGUGCAGACAUUUUAUACCACUCUGUAUGCACUGAUCAUGAAAAUACGCUCUGCUCCCAGGAUUUUUUUCCUGUGGAUACCAGAACUCCAACCAUGAUUAAAUAAAAUAGUGCUUUGCUCCUUCAGCCAACCUUUGCUGAAAAGAAUGGAGCUGCAGGAGCCUCGGGCUGUAGGGCUGGCAGGAACCAGGAUGGGGCUGAUCCUGAGAGGGGCUGAACUCUGCCAGCUCCUGUCCAAAAUCCAGGGCUGUUAACUCAGGGCUGAACUCCCUCCAUCUUUUCAGAUCAAUGUUCAACUGCAUAUUUUCUCCCAGUGCUAGUUUAAGCAAUUCCCACAUAAAGGAAUCAGAUGUUCAUCUUCUUCAGAUGUUGGGAGAGAAAAAGAUAAAAAGAGUUACAUGGCUGUAAAAUGUGAUUGGGACUAUUCAGACCAGUUUGUUCCUUGAUCAAGAAUGUAACUUUUCUUUUUUAAUGUAGUGAAGGCUUUCUUUUUGCAGUGUCUACUCAGUGUCAUUUUCUUCCGCUGUUCCAUUUCUAAAGAUAACUGUGUUUGGAGAAGCUGUUACAUGUUUCUAUCACUCCAUAGCACAGGGUGCUGCCGGAGAACAGAAUGAAGAAAAGCAGCUGAAGAAAGGAAAGCUGAUCCUGUGGUGGGCAGUGAGGAGCAAGAGGACAUUUGGUUCUGCAAGAUGUUUAACCAGAUCAGAAAACCUCACCAUGGCUGCACAAGGGCAGAUGUUUAGAAAGAGGGGAUGUCCCACUGCAGCCAAGUGGAAGGGAGAGCCAGACUUCAGAAAAAUUGCUGCUUGUCUUCCCUCCCCCAUGAGGCUGAAUCCCAGCACCCCAGACUGUCGUGACUGCCUGGGAUUGGUGACAUCUCCAGCAAAACGUGUUGGAGCAUCAAAACAGAGUGGGAGCAGCACAGCCUGGCUCCGGGAGCCAAAAAUAGGUACUAUCAUUUCUGAGCUGAAGCCUCCCUUCUCCUUCCCCAGCCAGCCCUGCCUCUCUGGCACGUGCAGCACAUAAUCGUGGUGUUCCCAUCGGACUGAAGGAAAACCACAUUCCUAAAGCAAGCAGGGCAUUAAGUGGUGGCCAUGCUUUGGAGGCAGAGAAUGUUAGGGCAUGGAUCCUAAAUUAGGGAACAUCGGUGGUGAUGGUUUGCAGAUUUUCUGUGGGGAAUGGGUGUAGAAAGGAGCACGGCUCAUCUCCUGCAGUGCCAUGUGGAAAAGCAUCAGAGAUACACCAUCAAAUGGGGAGCUUGAAUUCCCUUCACUGGACAGUUGCUCAGAUCCUUGUAAUUGAAUGAGUGAUGAAUGUAGCACACUGGAUUUCUCUCUGGAUCCUUUCUCUCCUUUAUUCUGUGACUCUCUGAAUCUCAGUCAUGCUUUCACCCAUUUUUUUUUAAGUCUCCCAACUGGAGUAUUUGUCUGCUUCUGCCAAACCCCAAAAGCUCUGUUUCAUGAAAAAAAAAAGAGAUCAUUUGGGAAAGGUGAAGUUUAAUUCAUGAAGAUAAUGGUCUUUGAAGGUGUCUGCUCCUUUGGCAGUGACUGAUUCAAAGGAGUUCCGUUUCAGGAUGUCUGUUCUGCUGUUCCCAAGGCUGCAGAGAGGAGGAGGGAUUGUGCAAGGCCAUAUAAAUCAGGGGCUGUUACGGGGAUGUCAAACACAACUGCACCACGGGGUGCUAAUGGUGAGCAGGCAAGGAAUCAGAGCAAGUCAGAACCAAUGGAGAAAAGCCACAAAGCUCCUGUGUCUGGUUCUCCAUGCUUCCCAAAAGUGCAGUGUCUGCACACUCCUGCUCUGUCCUGGGAAAAGCGCAGGCUGCUCCACUGAUCCGUAUCACAUUUUCAAAGUGCUCCAGUAAUUGGAUGAGUAGGUUUGGUGGGAACAUCUUUGGUUCUCCCAUCAGGAAAGAUCUAAAUGAAGCUAUGUGAGCACAUCUCCAGCCCAGGUUGCUUUCCCACGUCAGUCCACUGGAUUUGUGCUCACCUGAGGCAGUGGUGACCAGGCCACUGGACACACAGCAACUUCCACUGGAGUGGAAGAAGAACACUCCCAAUCUUUGUGCAUGCAAAUAGGAGUUUCCUCCUUUUCCAGUAGCAGUUAAAUCCCAAAGUUCUGACCCCAGUCAGCUCCUGGGUGCUGGAGUAAGAAGUGAUUUGGGAUCUCUGUGUGCAGCUUUUGGAGAAGGGGCCAGUGCUCAUGCUCUCCCCCUUCCUCAAUCCCAUGAGCAUUCCAGGUUUCCAGAGGUUCCAGCUGGCUCUUCCACCCCCUGCUCAUCUCUCAGACUCCAGGCUAUGUGAUGGACCCUCAGGUUUGUGGGCACAGAGCACAGGUGGAUGUCACGGGGGAACAGUUUUCUCUCCCACAAUGACUGUGUGAUCUUCACAGCUUCCCAAACACCUGUUACUCCAGGAGAGAAGCUGAGCUCAAACCAAAAUGAAGCUGUUAGAGCUUUAAAACAGGCCACGAGACUCCCUUUGUGCAGAAGGAAUUCAGGCUGGUGGAAGGUUUCAGGGACUGGAUGUGUGUUGUGAGCCAGGAUCGUGGCUGACCACAAGUCCAUUGGACAGGCUGUGCCUGUGCAUGUCCCUGCGAGCACAUUCCACCGUGGUUUCUGCACUAGUUUUCAUUAUUUCUCAAUAUUCCCACUAAUAUUUCAUGUAUUUAUCUUGGUUGUGGGUAAUUUCAGCAGUGAAAGUGCUGACUCUGAUGUCCUUCGGGGACAUUGGCUUGGGACAACCCAACAGUUCUGUGUGGGCCUGCAGAAAAUGUUCUGCCCACUGGUCUCCAAUCCCAAGAACGUUCCGUUUCUCUGCAUAUCCUUAUGCACAGCAUUGACAGCAAGACAUUUGUGUAGAUGAAUAACCUAACAAUUCCAAAUAUUAUUUAUUUUCCAGGACUUCUGGGUCACGAGAAUGAUGGGACAGGAAAGACUGAGGUGCAGCUGGAUCACUCCAGAUCCCGGCCAGUGGGGUUUGUGUCUCCCUUCCGUAUCAGGCCAAGCAGAACCUGCUCCUCCUCCUCAGCCGAGUGAGUGUGUGAGGAAGUGGGAGCUGGGAGAAAGGGGAAUGUUGUCUGGAUCUCAUGUUGUCCUCUGGAAGGUUUUAAUGAUCUUUAGCUUCCAUACAGAAAGGCUCCUUCUGGAACCAGGAGAGCUCUCACCCGAGGAGCAAAAUCAAGGUGAAGUGCAAGAUGCCUUACCUUUGUCACUUCUAACGGGACAGGCAUCAUUCACUUGGCUCGACUGAGAAUUAGUGAAACCUCUCACGUGUCUCAGCCACCUGUAGCCAGGAACAAGACCAAGUUCUUCCUCUUCCUGGUGUGGAAACUGCUCACAGCGAGGUACAUGCUCUUGGGUCUGAGUUCCCACUGCUCCCAUCCCACAGCAGGAGCCUGUGCACAGCAGGUGCUUCUUCAGGAGCCUUCUGCAGGCACCACACCCCAGGCACUGCUGCAUUUGCCUGAAAUUGGAGGCAGAACUUAAAAAAAAAAAGAGAGACAGUAAGAGAAUAGGAGUGGUUUUGAGGAUUUUCUUCCUGAUGUCUUUCACUGGUACUUUUUUACAGCUUUGUUUUUAAGCUGAGCAUAAUUCAUGAACUCUGCUCUUUAGUAAAAACACAUGUUAACAGCAGUAGUAGCAGUAAACAUAAAAAAAAAGCCAGCCAUACUAUGCUUUGUGGUCCCCUGUGCUUUCUCCAAAGGCAGUGCUUCCCAGAAUAUCCUGGCAGCCUCAGGAGUGGUGGACACCGCGAUGACACCCCAGAAGGAGCAGCUGAGUGCUAGUGAUUGCUGGAGGUUGGCAGGAAAACACUGGACUCCCGUCUGAAAACACAAACCCAACAGAUCACAGAGCAAACGCCAGCCUGAAAGAGGGGUCAGAGGCAGAUUGCAGCCCUCUGGGACUGGGAAAACAGGAGAUUUGUGAGAAAGCUUUUCUCCCUCUGUCAAAUCUCUGUUAUUUGUUACCUGCCUCAGAAGGCUCACGGCUGAAAAAUACCAUUGCUUUGCUUCGUGGAAUCUAAAUGUCCACAUGAUACAGACAUAAACCUCAAUUUCUUCUCAGCCCUCACCAAAGGUUUUUGGUCACAGAAGGACAGUCUUUUUGAGAAAUUCAUUUUUGUUGAAAACCUACACUUCUGUGCUUUCAGAAACGAAGGGCACUUCUGAUAACAACUUCUGAUAGCCUGAACAUCUUUCUCUACCAGUUCCCCACUUUCAGCAGUGUAAGUUUGUUCCAAGCAUCUAAAUUCUCUCCAGUUUUUGGCAGUGAUGCUUCUUAGCUGAACUCCUUUGGGAAUGUGAAGGCAUCUUGCUUGUGCACAAAACGUCCAUUGCCUGUAUAGCAUAAGAGCAUUUUCCUCCCAGAUUCCCCUGCCAGCAUGUGCCUUCCACUAUGGGAGGAGGAAGAAAUGCAUUUCAACUUCUGGUCCUUCUAAGAGCAUCCCUCAAAAAAUGUGUAUUAGUGGGCAGGGAAGCAGGUGGAGCAACAGCCUGGGCAACAUUUACUGUGUGGUGGUUCCUGGUCACAAGGAGCUGGGAUCAGCACCUUCACCUCAUCUUGGAGCAGUGGUGUUCAAACCCCACCAAUCCCUGCUGGAGUCAACUCCCAGCCUGUGGUUUUCUGCUGCUCCCCCUGCUCCGUUCAGCAUCUCCGAACACCUUUGUGUCUCACUUGGACAGAGUCACAUUCUGACCUCUGAGACACAUUUCAUAUUUCUCAGAAUCAAUAACUUCCGAUGCAGUUGCAGGAAUACCGGGCAGUCGAUAAGUCCCGUCAGGUUCCGUUAGGAGGAAAAGCGGAGCAGCGUAAGGAUGACAUUUCUUAGGGAACUGCUAUCCGGGCAUAUUUGUUGUUUCAAUUUGUCUGACUUCAGGGCUCAGCCAGGGACUGCAGCCUGUAGCACUCAUGUAAUUUGAUUUUAGAGCUGCCAUUCAGGUGCUGAGGGAAUAACAGCAGCGGCAGAACCCCUGUGUGGCAGCAGACCCAGCGAUCCUGACGUGCCGAGUGCCCAGACCUGUCAGGGAGAGCCGAGGGCUCACGGCUCCUUCACCCACGUUCCACAUCCCUUCGGAGCUCCUGGUCUGCUCUCCUGGCUUUGAUCACCGAUCCCCUGGGACGAGCAUAGAAAGGAGUUCCCCAACACAUCCUAUUCCAGCCAUAUGACCGAACACCCCAGCUGACCCUUUCAGAACACUGCAGUCUCACUUCCCCUGGCAUAGGAGAAAACGUGAUGGUGUUUACAGAGCAGAAGCACUGGGACUCAGGAGAUGUGAAAGGUGGCCCUGCUGCUCUACCUCCAACACCUCUCUGUGGUUCUGCUUUCUGACUUCCUGUCAGGAUAACCUGGACUAAAACCCCUCUGGGCUUUUCCUGUGUGAUCCUACAGUGUCUGCCCAACCUCAGACUCUGUCAAUCUAGGACUCAAGGAGCUCCACCUUCCUCUCAGACGUCCUGGGAAACUCACCUCAGUGAUUGGAAGGUCUGCCUCCAUUUAUGACCCUCCCUGACUCCACUGAGGAGCUGGAACUGCUGUUGACAUCAGGAAUGACAGAAGUGUGUGCUGGGGUUGGAGGGUUUCUGGCACAUGACCUGUUAACCUAGAAUUUGCUCGGCAAAGUCCAGAGGAUGACUUUUAACCUCAGAGCAGUUUGCAAAACCACAUCUGUGAUCAAUAAAUGUGAAAAAUAAAUGAAAAAAAUAAAUCUAUCCCCUAUUGAAGGAUGAAAGACAGCACACCUUGCUGGGCACUGGUGCUGGAAUCGGGAUGGAGAUCAGGAAUAAUUGGAGAGGUCAUGUUGCCAGAAGUUGUCCGUGGAUGGAGCUGAUGCCUCACACGAGGGAGGCAGCACAGAAGGUGAAACUGAAGGUAUCUCAUAGCUCUAAGUCUUAAACUUAAUGAGCCACGUCUUUAUUUGUGCUGCAGCCCCUUCUUAUCCCAAAUUGCCUUAACCAGCUGCCAGAGGAUGCCCGGUAACGAAAAAUUCUCUGGAUAACAAUAAAUUGGUGUAACGAUUCAGUGUCACCUCACAUCCCGCUAAGCAAUAGAGAAAUCACGGUGAGAAAAAUAGGCACGACCAGAGUGGCACUGAACAGUGCAAUCCUAAUUCCAUCACCCUUCUUGUGGGCGACAGAUAACCCAGUGCAAUUUACAGCCGCUCUGAAGCGGCUCCAAGUCUCAGCAGGAGUCGGGAAAGCUCAGCGUAGCCUCGGGACUGAGGAGUCAUAAAGAUCAGGGGAGUUGUUGUUCCAUAACCUUGCCUCUGCAUCAAAACCAGGGGGCUGGCUUGGAAUGGGAAGCACUCCAAGCAAAACACAAAAUUUUAAUCACCGAAAUGAAGGUCCUCCUCUGGCUCCCUCUCUGGAGAAUAGUCUGUCUCUGCUGAUCAUGCACAGACUUCCAAAGAAGAGAUAACGCCAGCAAUGUAAUCCUGGGCUGGCACCGAUGCAGGCCAUCAGCAAUGUGGAAAUUGCCCCGUGAGGGAUGUCGUGGUUGGCACAAGCUCCAGCACUCCAAGGGGGUGAGACUAGAAAAGCCCUGACAGAAGGAAGAGAAGGACAAACGUUUAUAAUUUAACCCGAGGAUAAAUUGCAGCUGGUUGCUGGUAAUCCUUGUGACAUAUCAGAUAGCAGCGUAACUCGGCAAGGGCAAGCUGGAGAAACCCAAACAUCUUUCUGAGGAGGUAAUUAUUCCAUUGUGAAAAUGCCCCGGGAUAUUUUUAGUGGCCAAACCCCCUGUUUCCUGACAGAAGCAUAAAAUAAUGAAGCAAGUUUCACAAGGAGAGACGCCUCAGACACCUGUAUUAGCUGGUGCUUUGCAGUCACGUCAGCGUUUAAUUCGCUGUGCGCAUCCCCGCAUCCCUGUACGGCAAAAUCCACACCUGCGUUUGGGGCACUGCACACUCUGCCAGCGUCUGCCUCGCAGAAAACCCUCUCCAUAAACAAAUCUGCAAAUCCCGCUGGAUCAGGGAGAAUUUCACGGGAAUAUAGAGCUGCCUGCAACAAGAGGGACACCCUUGCCACACACACCGAGGUUAUCAAGGGAAACUUUCCUCAAUGAGAGUCUCACAACCAGCGUAAAAGCCUGGGUUUUUUGGAACAAAUGAUUUAAAAUUAGUUUUAAAACAUUUUGCAACAUGUUUUGCGGGGUAUGUACCCGUGUUUCACGUUGUGCGGUGCCCCAGGGGGUCCAGUUGUCUCCCGGAUACCUCUAGCCCCGGUGCCAUGUAAUUUACGUCCUGAAAGAGACAAUUCAAUUAGUCAAUAAUAAAAUGAGCAAGGACAC